RNAcentral lists this ribosomal RNA (326 nucleotides) under uncultured bacterium. Its description in RNAcentral is "bacterial SSU rRNA". It matches the Rfam family "Bacterial small subunit ribosomal RNA", at positions 28 to 334 of the family's 1533-position model. The record is from RNAcentral.
GAUGAACGCUGGCGGCGUGCUUAACACAUGCAAGUCGAACGAAGCACUUAAGACGGAUUACUUCGGUUUGAAGUCUUAUUUGACUGAGUGGCGGACGGGUGAGUAACGCGUGGGUAACCUGCCUCAUACAGGGGGAUAACAGUUAGAAAUGACUGCUAAUACCGCAUAAGCGCACGGUCUCGCAUGGGACGGUGUGAAAAACUCCGGUGGUAUGAGAUGGACCCGCGUCUGAUUAGCUGGUUGGUGAGGUAAGGGCUCACCAAGGCGACGAUCAGUAGCCGGCCUGAGAGGGUGAACGGCCACAUUGGGACUGAGACACGGCCCAA